This is a long non-coding RNA of Acyrthosiphon pisum (pea aphid), 565 nucleotides long. RefSeq lists it as uncharacterized. The record is from RefSeq and is a predicted model, not a curated record. NCBI's taxonomy places the organism in Eukaryota, Metazoa, Arthropoda, Insecta, Hemiptera, Aphididae. The transcript is spliced from 3 exons.
UUCUCUACUAUCUGCCGAGCGAAGGUCGUGUCUCGUGUGUCGAGAGUUCGAUACUAUUUUCGACUUGCCGUGACUUACGGUAGACAACCGCCACACACUUAACGUGUUUGUCGAAAGAAAGAAACCAAAAUCAUCACCAUCAUGUCGAGAGUAAUUUUAGCGCAAUUGAAGAAAUCCAGCUCCGUAUUGAGGACGUCCGUGCGGUCCAAGGCCGAUGGUCACCAUGCCACGUACAAACCCCUGACAAUGGAUGACAUGCCAGUCCCAAAGGUGCCCUGGAACGAAUACCACGGCAAAACCAAUGCCAAAUACAACCUAGUACUUGUCGGCGGAAUCACUGCUCUUGCAACGUCCAUCUACGUAUUACAAGAUAACUGUUUCUUCAAUGCAUUUGUACCACCAUACCCUUUUGAAGAAACUGAACAAAAGUAAUUAUGAGUAUAUUUUUUUUAAAAUGUAUUUAUUUUUUUCCGUGUAGUAAUUAAUAAUAUUAUAUAAAUAAAUAUAAUUGUAAUUAAUUAUAAAUUUGAUUAUCCAAAAUAAAAUGAUUUAAUUAGGUAAUGUA